CCUACGGGGGGCAGCAGUGGGGAAUAUUGCACAAUGGGGGAAACCCUGAUGCAGCGACGCCGCGUGAGUGAAGAAGUAUUUCGGUAUGUAAAGCUCUAUCAGCAGGGAAGAAAUAAAGUCCUUCGGACUUUGGACGGUACCUGACUAAGAAGCCCCGGCUAACUACGUGCCAGCAGCCGCGGUAAUACGUAGGGGGCAAGCGUUAUCCGGAUUUACUGGGUGUAAAGGGAGCGUAGACGGCAGCGCAAGUCUGGAGUGAAAUCCCAUGGCUUAACCAUGGAACUGCUUUGGAAACUGGUUUUCUUGAGUGAGUGAGAAGUAUGCGGAAUGCGUGGUGUAGCGGUGAAAUGCAUAGAUAUCACGCAGAACUCCGAUUGCGAAGGCAGCAUACCGGCGCUCAACUGACGCUCAUGCACGAAAGUGUGGGUAUCGAACAGGAUUAGAUACCCUUGUAGUC
Molecule: ribosomal RNA, 457 nt
Filed under: uncultured bacterium
Lineage: Bacteria
Description: partial 16S ribosomal RNA
Rfam family: Bacterial small subunit ribosomal RNA
Source: RNAcentral